CGUCAUUGAUAUCUGUGUAAAACACAUGAGUACACCACAGCGAACAAAAUUGCUGGUUUGUAAAACCUUGGAAGAGGCUUUAAGGAAAAUCCAGGAGCUGGAAAUGCAAGAUAAUUUGUGCCUGACUCUAGUACGAAGAAUUUUGGGAAGACGAUUUGGCCUAAAAAGACCUGUAGCAGUUAACAAGCUAUUAGAUGCACAAUAGCACAAAAUGACCACCACCACUAUCACCCUAAAGUGUGUGCUUGGUGUCUGUCUACACGUGCUUGCUUCUGGAAUGUUGAAGAACAAACUGUGUUGAAACGCCAACUGGAGUUGGUCAUGGACCUUUGCCGCCCUUCACCCAGAGCCUUCCACAGAGAUGGCAGAUAUAUCGCUGCCUGGACCAACAGUUGACCAUGCCGUUGAGUCCAUGAAAACAUCUACAGAAUUACAUCUGCGGCCGUGGCUAUUAAUGGUUACAUUCUGCACCACUUCCAUGUGCUGUCAGUUUGAAACGUCUCUACUCUGACAGAAGGAAGGGAAUGAAUACCCAGGAUUGUUCCUCAGGAAAAUCUCUUCAACAGGCUGUUGUCAGUUUGCAUGCUCUUUGGAUGGAAUUACCCUACCUUGGCUUGCAGAGAAUCUGUGAUAUAAAAGACCUCUUUUGUGCUGCAUUGUGUCAUUGAUUUAUUGUAUUUUAUAUGUAUUAUGCCACUAUUGUAAAAACAAAUGGGCAUAUGUUUUAGCAUAUGUUUUCAAACAGACACAUUUAUAUUUCAAACAGACACAUUUAUAUUUUUGAAUAAUUUGAAAAUACAUUUUGUAGGUUGACUUCACACCAUGAAACAUUAAUGGUAGGUUAUAUUUGACCAGAACAUGACAAGUAUUGUUUUCGGAGUUUUUUGGUCGAAGGUGAAGGUAAUGGCUAACAGUGGUUAUUCUGCACAAUGAACCUUGAAUUCUUUGACCUAGGACCAUUAAUAUUUAGUGAUUGAUAUAUCAGUCCAACUCAUAUGUGAAAGGGACAUGAUGAAAUUGAGCAAGAGCUUAUUAGCAUUGCAAAUUAUUAUUUGUUCAUUUUUAGCUCGACUAUUCGAAGAAUAGGUGGGCUAUACUAUCAUUAACAAUUCUGCGUUAAAGUUUUCAUUUUAUGUAAUAAAAUCAAGAGUUUUUAUCCAAUGGUAAUCAAACUUGGUCAGACUAUUUGUCGGCAUGUUAUCUUGAAGAUGUAUGAAUAUGGGUCAUCCCUGGUCAAAUUCUAGGUCACUAGGUCAAAUCUUAGGAAAAUCAUUCCACAUCAUAAAUUGAACAAUUUUUGUCAAAUCUUUAUGAAACUUGGUCAGAAUAUUUGUCUGCAUAAUAUCUUAAAAGUUUUAUAAUAUGGGUCAUCCCCGGUCAAAACCUAGGUCACAAGGUCAAAUUUUAGAAGAAAGAAUCCCACAGUCAUAAAAAUUCAUUAAUUUUAGUCAAAUCUUUUUUAAACUUGGUCAGAAUAUUUGUCUACAUGUUGUCUUAAUCAUUUGUGAAUAUAGGUCACCUCAGAUCAAAAACUAGGUCACUAGGUCAAAUCUUAGGAAAUACUUUCCUGAUGUCAUAAAAAAAAUCUAUGCUUACCAAAGCUAUCCAUAUCAGUUAAUAACUAAAUUCAAUUGUUAUUUUAUAAACACACAUCCCAAUCAUGAAUUUCAGAUCUAACCAUAUUUUUCAAAAAUUUAAAUUUUAAUUAACUUUAAAAAUAUUUGUGUACAUGAAAUCUUAGAUGAUAAAGUGUGUCAUCUAGGGUCAAAAACUAGGUCUCUGGGACAGAUCUUUUUGGAAAAGCUGAUGUAUUUAUAAAAUGUUCGUUUUUCCUCACACAAAUGGAAUAGUUUCUGUUGAUCAGGUUAUUUGUAUGAAUGAUAUCUCCGAUAAAUAUAAAUAUGGGUCUUUUUGGUUAAAAAUACUAGGUCAUUAGCUCAAAUCCUAGGUUUGCAAAAUUGCAUUGUCAAAUAAAAAAUCAAGCUUUAUGCGGCGUUGCCGCGUUGGCGUCUUGUUAUUUUUUUAUUUUGACAGGCACAUUUUUAUAAUCUUAACCAAAUCAAACCUUGUUUUGUCACAUUGUGAUUCUUAUUCACUUUUUUAUUUGAUUGUUUUAUUGCUUUUUACAGGCACAUAUCACACUAUUAUUGUAUUUACGUCCAAUUCCAAGAGGCGUAGUAGAGCGCACUGUUUUACGACAGCUCUUGUUAACCUGUAAAGUGAAACCUGGUUAUAAAAAUGACAUGACUGUGUCAUUGUGUUGGCAGGCCAGGAGGAGGGCAGCAUCAAAUACAUCUACAAACUUAGUAUACAAAGUAUUAUAGAAUUGCUUUCGGGGCCCAUAGGAUCAAGGUCACUAAAACAAAAAAAUAUUGAAACUUAAUCGCACAACAAAGGCUUAAUUAAUUAGGUUUGUCUGUCAAUCAUUGAAAACUUGUUGUUUUUUUUGCAUUGCAGCAUUUCAUGCUUAAUUUUUAUUUUGUCUCUUUAUUGCAUAUUACCUUUAUCAUUAUUGUAUUCAUUUCUAAGACAAAGCAGCAUAUAGUUGAGGGCACUGCCCCAUGACAGCUCUUGUAUAUCCUAAAAAGAAUACAAUAGUGAUAUACCCUGAUAUAGGUAGUUUUGGUACAUUAUCACGGUUUUAAUUUUAGCUUUACUGGCCAAAGAUCAGAAUAUCUGACGUGAUGGUAAUGUGUAGUAGUAUGUGCUUCCUAGCGCCUGUAAACAAUUUCUUGUGAACACCAUACAGUCUUUAGUUAUGAUUGUAUCUCAAUAAAACAGUAUUUAGAUAUCCAAUAGAGCUCGGUUCCUUUCGAAAACCAGUCAGAUCUGCCCAUGCAUACCUAGAUUAUGGGCCUCAAAAGUAAAAAAAAAUGCUAUUUUUAGCCAAGUCUACAUGAGCGAAGUCUAUUUUUAGACAAGUUUACAUGUAAAGUCACAAAUUCAUGUGAAAAAUUGUUCAAAUUAGGCCCCUGGGGUCAUUAUUGGCCACGCCACUGGGUUCACCGGUUUGGUAUACUAAAUUGGGAAAUGUUUGAAAAUUUUUAUGUCUGAAACAACUAUGCAGACCCUUGUUAUUUUGAAUAAGGACUAUUUUAUUGGUCUGCUACCAUGGUUGUUCAAAUUAUGCCCCUAGGGUCAAAACUGGCACUGCCCCCAGGGGUCACAAGUUUUUUAAGAAAAUAUUUUCAAAAUCUUCUUGUUUCAAACCACAAGGCUCAUAUCUUUGAUAUUUGUUGUGGAACAUUAUAUGUAGACCGUCUAGCAAAACAGUUGAAAUUAUGUGCCCUGGGCCGGGGCCACCAUCCAUUUUGUCCUUUUAAAGCUACAAAAAUGAAAAUUUGACCAAUAGUACAGUUUUGUAGCAAAUUUUAUUCUCCUCAGAUGACCUUUACUUGGCACAUAUUAGAAUACUAGUAGUUCAUGCAACUAAUCUGCUUACAACACUUUCUGUUCUCAGAUGUUAAAUGUGCAACGUUUUAAGCUAACUCAAACACAAAACGUGAACAAUAUGUUUGUUGGCUAUUACUCAUACAUACAUGCUCUGGAUCAAAAAUAACCACAUGAGCCAUGCCACUAGAGCAUAGGCACUCAUGGGCCUCUUGUUUUUUUUAGAAAAAAAGCAUACUGACCAACCCUAUUUAUUUUAGAAGUUAGCUGAAACUAAGAACUUUUUUUACCUUACUUUUAUAUUAGAUUGUGUAUUGCUAAGAUUUUUGCUUAAAGCUCCAUUUAAGGUAACUGUUCAUCUCAAAUGGAACAGCUUUUGCCUUCAAACUUUUAAAAUUUCAUUGAACCAGUGGGUUCAUCAUGAUGCACAUCUGUAAAUGUUUCUCCCUAAUAUGGGCUUUUAUGUAUGCAAACAGAACAUUGAACAAUUGGCUUUCUGUGUAAAGUAAACCCUGUCCAGAACAUUUGUCAAAUUGCUGUGUCAGCACUUGUUUGAAUGGAUUUAUUUUAUUUUCAUAUUAUGAUUUCAAAUAAAGUAUUUAAAAAUGUUGA
Mya arenaria is the source of this 4002-nucleotide long non-coding RNA. RefSeq lists it as uncharacterized. The record is from RefSeq and is a predicted model, not a curated record. NCBI's taxonomy places the organism in Eukaryota, Metazoa, Mollusca, Bivalvia, Myida, Myidae. The transcript is spliced from 5 exons.